GACGAACGCGGCGGCGUGCCUAAUACAUGCAAGUAGAACGCUGAAGGAGGAGCUUGCUCUUCUGGAUGAGUUGCGAACGGGUGAGUAACGCGUAGGUAACCUGCCUGGUAGCGGGGGAUAACUAUUGGAAACGAUAGCUAAUACCGCAUAACAUUGACUAUUGCUGAUAGUUAAUUGAAAGGUGCAAAUGCACCACUACCAGAUGGACCUGCGUUGUAUUAGCUAGUUGGUGGGGUAACGGCUCACCAAGGCGACGAUACAUAGCCGACCUGAGAGGGUGAUCGGCCACACUGGGACUGAGACACGGCCCAGACUCCUACGGGAGGCAGCAGUAGGGAAUCUUCGGCAAUGGACGGAAGUCUGACCGAGCAACGCCGCGUGAGUGAAGAAGGUUUUCGGAUCGUAAAGCUCUGUUGUAAGAGAAGAACGAGUGUGAGAAGUGGAAAGUUUCAAC
RNAcentral lists this ribosomal RNA (454 nucleotides) under Streptococcus cristatus. RNAcentral describes it as "bacterial SSU rRNA". It matches the Rfam family "Bacterial small subunit ribosomal RNA", at positions 28 to 473 of the family's 1533-position model. Lineage: Bacteria; Bacillati; Bacillota; Bacilli; Lactobacillales; Streptococcaceae. The record is from RNAcentral.